UCUUGGAGCCUAGGCGCAAGGCGCGGGUGUGCACCCGAGUGAGGCAAGGCGCAAAAAUAAAUAAAAAAUAAUUAAAAUUAAAAAUAUUCUCACACAUUUCAAGUAACAUAAUGCUAAACAUUAAAAAAAGAAAAAAGAGAGACAAGGAAGUUAAUAAUUUAUAAUAACAUAAACUCUAUUUACCUAAUAGCAAUUAGCAAGUAGCAACAUG
RNAcentral lists this unclassified non-coding RNA (211 nucleotides) under Hevea brasiliensis (rubber tree). Lineage: Eukaryota; Viridiplantae; Streptophyta; Magnoliopsida; Malpighiales; Euphorbiaceae. The record is from RNAcentral.